This 253-nucleotide ribosomal RNA is filed under the name Dorea longicatena. RNAcentral describes it as "partial 16S ribosomal RNA". It matches the Rfam family "Bacterial small subunit ribosomal RNA", at positions 524 to 776 of the family's 1533-position model. The record is from RNAcentral. Lineage: Bacteria; Bacillati; Bacillota; Clostridia; Lachnospirales; Lachnospiraceae.
UACGUAGGGGGCAAGCGUUAUCCGGAUUUACUGGGUGUAAAGGGAGCGUAGACGGCACGGCAAGCCAGAUGUGAAAGCCCGGGGCUCAACCCCGGGACUGCAUUUGGAACUGCUGAGCUAGAGUGUCGGAGAGGCAAGUGGAAUUCCUGGUGUAGCGGUGAAAUGCGUAGAUAUUAGGAGGAACACCAGUGGCGAAGGCGGCUUGCUGGACGAUGACUGACGUUGAGGCUCGAAAGCGUGGGGAGCAAACAGG